Paramormyrops kingsleyae is the source of this 356-nucleotide long non-coding RNA. RefSeq lists it as uncharacterized. NCBI's taxonomy places the organism in Eukaryota, Metazoa, Chordata, Actinopteri, Osteoglossiformes, Mormyridae. The record is from RefSeq and is a predicted model, not a curated record.
GGAACAUGGAACCAAAAUUCGAACAGGACAAAAGCAGGGAAACGAAGUACGAAACACUGGGGAAACACAAACAAUAAAUACAAGUAGACAGAGACCCAACUUGGCACUUCGCAGAGCAGUAUAGUGCCCCCCCCCUUGGUGCGCCUGUGGACGCAUCAUCAAAGGCCCUUUAAUGAAACCGCAAAGGAAGAAGUCCAGCCAGCAUCACCACCAGUAACCAUAACAGUACCAGUAUGAAAGGCAUGACAUUGGUUAAGGGAUUGUUGCCGCUGACUGGAGUAGCCGUUAACAAGGACCACCUUUUUAACACCAACCCAUGAAGGAACUUGCAUGUUGAUUUACGAGUCACACUUUUA